This 1151-nucleotide ribosomal RNA is filed under the name uncultured bacterium. Its description in RNAcentral is "bacterial SSU rRNA". It matches the Rfam family "Bacterial small subunit ribosomal RNA", at positions 28 to 1122 of the family's 1533-position model. The record is from RNAcentral.
AAUAAACGCUGGUGGCGUGUUUUAUACAUGCAAGUCGAGCGGAGAUUAGCUCGCGGUUAGAGGAGAUUUAUCUGUAGUCUCUAUGGAUGAUGAUUCUUUGACUCAGGCUAAUCUUAGCGGCGGACGGGUGAGUAACGCGUGGAUAAUCUACCCCUGAGUGGGGAAUAACUUUCCGAAAGGGAUGCUAAUACCGCAUGAUGUUAUUCCACCUCGGUAGGAUAACCAAAGUUAGACUCUUUGAGUCUUUCGCUCAGGGAUGAAUCCGCGUCCUAUUAGCUAGUUGGUGAGGUAACGGCCACCAAGGCGACGAUGGGUAGCCGGCCCGAGAGGGUGUUCGGCCACACUGGGACUGAGACACGGCCCAGACUCCUACGGGAGGCAGCAGUAGGGAAUCUUCCGCAAUGGGCGAAAGCCUGACGGAGCAACGCCACGUGGACGAUGAAGGCCUUCGGGUCGUAAAGUCCUGUCAGAAGGGACGAUGGUUGAUCUUCGGAAUGACUGACGGUACCCCCAGAGGAAGCUCCGGCCAACUACGUGCCAGCAGCCGCGGUAAUACGUAGGGAGCAAGCGUUAUUCGGAUUUACUGGGCGUAAAGAGUGCGUAGGCGGUUGGGUAAGUCAAGGGUGAAAUCUCUGCUCUCAAGGCAGAAACUGCCCUUGAUACUGCCCGACUUGAGGACAGGAGAGGGAAGUGGAACUCUGGAAGUAGCGGUGAAAUGCGUAGAUAUCCAGAGGAACGCCAGUGGCGAAGGCGGCUUCCUGGUCUGUCCCUGACGCUGAGGCACGAAAGCUAGGGGAGCGAUCGGGAUUAGAGACCCCGGUAGUCCUAGCCGUAAACGAUGGGUACUAAGUGUGGGGGGAGCAUUACUCUCCGUGCUGAAGCUAACGCGUUAAGUACCCCGCCUGGGGAGUACGGUCGCAAGACUGAAACUCAAAAGAAUUGACGGGGGGCUGAACAAGCAGUGGAGCACGUGGUUUAAUUCGAUGAUACGCGAGGAACCUUACCUGGACUAGAAUGCAUACUGACAGUCCCAGAAACGGGAUUUUUCUUCGGAACGGUUUGCAAGGUGCUGCAUGGUUGUCGUCAGCUCGUGCCGUGAGGUGUUGGGUUAAGUCCCGCAACGAGCGCAACCCCUAUCUCUAGUUGCCAGC